AACGAACGCUGGCGGCAUGCCUAACACAUGCAAGUCGAACGAAGCCUUCGGGCUUAGUGGCGCACGGGUGCGUAACACGUGGGAAUCUGCCCUUCGGUUCGGAAUAACAGUUAGAAAUGACUGCUAAUACCGGAUGAUGACGAAAGUCCAAAGAUUUAUCGCCGAAGGAUGAGCCCGCGUAGGAUUAGGUAGUUGGUAGGGUAAUGGCCUACCAAGCCGACGAUCCUUAGCUGGUCUGAGAGGAUGAUCAGCCACACUGGGACUGAGACACGGCCCAGACUCCUACGGGAGGCAGCAGUGGGGAAUAUUGGACAAUGGGCGAAAGCCUGAUCCAGCAAUGCCGCGUGAGUGAUGAAGGCCUUAGGGUUGUAAAGCUCUUUUACCAGGGAUGAUAAUGACAGUACCUGGAGAAUAAGCUCCGGCUAAACUCCGUGCCAGCAGCCGCGGU
RNAcentral lists this ribosomal RNA (448 nucleotides) under uncultured bacterium. RNAcentral describes it as "bacterial SSU rRNA". It matches the Rfam family "Bacterial small subunit ribosomal RNA", at positions 29 to 521 of the family's 1533-position model. The record is from RNAcentral.